GGGAGCGGAAGCGACUCUUCCGGUCGCGGGAGCCUUAGGCAAGAGCUGCUGGACUGGAGGGAGGGAGGGGAGGGGAGGGGAGGGGCGCGGGGACUCAAGCCACGGUUUUUGUGUCCGCGGCUGCACCCCUCUCGAAGCGUUUUCACGCACAUGUAAAGCGUUGCAGUUCGCUUGGUGUUGUGCGCAUUUAACAUUUUUUCAUAGCUAUUUUUGUUAUUGUAGUUUGUUUUUACUAAUAGACUAUUAAUCCAUUAGUAUCCUUGUAUAAGAAUGGCUUUUGAUUGUUGAUCUAUCUGGACACUUCACUAAACGUUCGUAUUCUAAAAAUUUGACAGGCAGUCCUCUUUGAUUUGUAGGUAAGAAUUUAUCUGUAAAGAACAAUUUUGGCUUUUCCCAAGAAUCCAGUGCAACACUGAAUAGUAGCCGGAGGUACUUAUUUCUUACCAGGAGUUAUUUUGGAUUGCAUCUUAGGUUUCAUUCAAGAUAUCUUCUGCAGGUUUAUGGUGUGUGUGUGUGUGGGUGUAUAGGCAAAUUAUGUUCUUUUCGUAGUUUACCAUAUCGGUUUUUUUUUUAAUCAGCAAAUGACUAAGUUUUACCAAGUAUUUUCAGUAUCAGUCUUUGAGAUGAUUGUAUGGCCUUUUUUCCAUUACUCUACAAUAAAAUAACUACAAUAAUAGAUUUUCUAAUGGUGAGCCAAACUUAGAAUCCUGGUAUCUUAUUUUUUCAAUAUAUUGCUGGAUGCAAUUUGCUGUGUAGUUAAUUUUGGAUUUUCAUGUAUGCACCUAAGUUAGAUUGGCUUAUGGUUUUCUUUUGCUGUCCUUGUCUAGUUUUGGUAUCAGGUUGUGCUAGGAGUCAGACAGGUUAACUUAUUUUUGUAUGACCUGGAAUAGACAUAGCAUGUGUGAAUGAUACAUUUCUUAGGUUUUGAAGAACUCAUCUUUAAAGCCUUCUGGGUGUGGUGCCAUCUUAAUGGAUAGUUUUGUUUUUUAUAUAGCGUCCAUCGUUAUUGAUACCUAGAAUUUUUUCUUUUGCUUCUUGAGAAAAUUAGUUUUUUCUAGAAAAGUAUUGGCCGGGUGCGGUGACUCACGCCUGUGAUCCCAGCACAUUGGGAGGCCGAGGAGGGCGGAUCACGAGGUCAGGAGAUCGAGACCAUCCUGGCUAACACGGUGAAACUCCGUCUCUACUAAAAAUACGACAAUGAAAAAUUAGCCGGGCAUGGUGGCGGGCGCCUGUAGUCCCAGCUACUCAGGAGGCUGAAGCAGGAGAAUGGCUUGAACCCGGGAGGCGGAGCUUGCAGUGAGCUGAGAUUUUGCUACUGCACUCCAGCCUGGGGGACAGAGCGAGACUCCAUCUUUAAAAAAAAAGUAUUUCAGCUAUAUUUUCUAACAUUUAAAAAAAUCUCAUAUUGUUCUCAACCAUUCUUAUAUAUUCUUAUAUAUAUAUUCUUAUAUAUUGUAUUGGAGUCUUUUUCUUGAUCAUAUUUAUCAAACCAGCUUUUGGUUUUAUAGAUAAAAUCUGUCUUAAAAGUAAUUUCUCUUUCAUUAAUGUAUGCCUUCAUUAAUUUCUUCUUAUCUCUUUGGGUUUAUUUUGUUCUUUUUAUAGAAUCUUGGAAGCUUAACUUUCCUUUAAAAUGUUUAAUAUGAAAUAUUACCAGAAUGUACAGUUACAGAAAAUAAUAUAAUGAACACUUGUAUACCAACCAUCUAGCUUUAUCCCAUUUUAACAUUUUCUCUUAUUUGCUUCAGAUUUUAACAUUCAGUUAGAGCUCCUUGUGAAACUGCCUGCAAUCUCAUUCUCCCUCUCUUCCUCUCUGAAAUUAACUACUUCAUUGAAUUUGGUAUCUGUCAUUCCCAUGAAAGCUUUUAUGUAUGCUCCAAAUACAUGUAGCGAUGUUAAGUAGCAUAAAGUACUGUUUUAUGCUUUUUAAACCUAAUAUAAAUGAUAUGCAUGUCACUUACUUUUGCCACCUAUAAUUAUGUAUGUAAAAUUUAUCCAGGAUGAUUCCUGUAGUUCUAGUUUUAUUUUAACUGCUGAAUAGUAUUCCAUUGUAUAAUUGUACCACCAUUUAUCCAUUCUCCAGUUGCUAGCAAUUUCAUGAUUCCUGAUUUCUGUCAUUAUAACAUGAGUUAGUUCUUGCACACAGCUUCUUAGACAUAUGGUAAGAAUUUCCUUAGGAUAAUGUCUAGAAAUGGAAUUGCAAGGUGGAAGGGUUUGCACAGUUCAACUUUGAUAUUGCCAAAUUGUUCUCCAGUGGUUGUACUAACUUACCCUCCAUCAGCAAUGUAGGAGAGCUGCUGUUGCUCCAUUCCAUGCCAACACAGGUUAUUUUUUUGCCCCAGUUUUUUUGUUUUGUUGUUUGGUUUUUUUUUUGCUGUUACCAACUGCUGACAGUAAAUUUUCUUGUACAUGUUUCCUGGUACACGUGUGCAAGAGUUUCUCUGACUAUAAAGCUAAUGCAGUUAUUAACUCUAUUUUGUUUUCGGUAUGUUUUUUAAAAGCAUGUACAUGUCCCCCUCAUUUGAGAUUUCUCCCUGUUAAUACUAACACUUAACUUAUUCAUAGAUAUAUCUCACUCAUUUUUUUCUAUGUAUCAUGCUUCCUGUUCUCUUUACUGCCUUUGGUUUGACAGUCUUUUUUUCCAGUUUUUUUCCCGCUUUAGUGGUUUGAAAGUUAUAUUUGAUUUUUAUUCUAUGAAUAGUAGUUACUCUUCUAACUCAUUUAAAGGUGUAUCUUUAUAUAUAUGUGUGUGUGUGUGUUUAGAAUUCAUCAGUAUCCAUAUGAGGCAGUCUGUGUAGUGGUUAAGAGUGGAGCCUGUGAGGCCAGACUGCCUGGAUUCAGAUCCUAGCACUACCACUUAUUAGCUGAGUAACCUAGAGCUUAUUACAUAAACUCUCUGUGCCUCAGUUGUUUCAUCUGUAAAGUGGGGAUAAUACAGCAUAUACCUCAUGAGGUUGUUCUAAGAUUAAUAUGUUAAUAUAUGUAACAUUCUUAGGACAGUGCCUAAUGCUUGGAUCUCUUUACCAGAUUUUUCAUCUAUGGAAUGGGCAGAAGACUUGCCUAUCAGAGUUGUUACAAAAAUUCAGUGCAUUAGUGUAUUCAUUCAUUUUAAUACACUGAGCACCUGCUGUGCACUUUUGAAUUAGACAUGGUUCUCGGCUUCAGUGGUCUCAUAAGGGAACAGACAUGAAAUGCAAUUUCAAUACGAUUUAACCUUAAUACUCUUCCCAUGUUCUCUCUUGUCCCCCUUCUAAUCUGUGCUCCACAUUAAGAGGCAAAACAUUAAUCAGAUCAUGCAUCCUCUGCCCAUCAUAUGUUAACUUUCAUUAUACUUUACAUAAACCAUAAACUUCUCACCAUGGCCUGAGCCCUCAGGUUCUAAACCCUGUGCCUCCCUCUCUAACCUCAUCAACUAUCAUUCUCCUGAUUUCUACCAAAUUCCCACCACACUAUCCUCUUCUCAGUUCCUUGAGCCAACACUCUUCAGUGCCCUCUGCUCAGAUUACUGAUCCACCCUGACAGCUCUUCCCACGACUGACUCAUCUUUCAGAUCUCAGCUUGAUUAGGUCAGGCAGUUAGUUACAAGCAACGGAAUCCACUCUGGUUGAGAAAGAAAAGGACUUUUAAAAAAUCAUGUAGCUCACAGAAUCUCUAGGAGAGCCAGAGGCCAAAUAUGGAAACAACGGUACCCAAACACACUAGACGAUCUAGUGAGAAUCCAUUGCUGCUGCCACCAUUGACACCAAAACUGCAACUUCCACAAACACUGGCGGUCCCCACUGGUAGCCAGAGUUAGGCAUGUUUCCUUCUUCAUCUUGCUCACUUUUUUUUUUUUUUUUUUUUGGAGAUGGAGUCUCACUCUGUCACCCAGGCUGGAGUGCAGUGGCAUGAUCUCAGCUCACUGCAACCUCUGCCUCCCAGGUUCAAGCAAUUCUCCUGCCUCAGCCUCCCGAGUAGCUGGGACUACAGGUGCCCGCCACCACGCCCGGCUAAUUUUUGUAUUUUUAGUAGAGACGAGGUUUCACCUGUUGGCCAGGCUGGUCUCGAACUCCUGACCUUGUGAUCCACCCUCCUCAGCCUCCCAAAGUGCUGGGAUUACAGGCGCGAGCCACUGUGCCCAGCCUGUCUUGCUCACUUUCAAGUUGAAAUUUUGCAUUGGCUAUGCCUGCUUGGUGGGGCCUAGGUCACAUUGCUGUGCUACAAAGGGGGUCAAGGAGGCAAGUUUUCUCAUAGGAAAUGCCUCAGACUUUAUAAGCGUGUUGAAAAGUGCUGGGUAUUCAGAAAACAUGUCACAUGAACAUGAGAUAAUGUGUUACCUCAGCAUUAAGGCCUUCUCUGACAACCCCAGUACAUUUUCCCCACAGCAGCCCCAUCAGUCUUUUCCUGUACUCUGUCAUUUUCUUCAAGGCACUUGUCACAACUUGUAUUGUUAUGUACUUAAUUUGUUCAAAUGUCUUAUAAAUUCUGGGGCCAUAGAGUCUAUGCGUGGAGUUUCAAAUAAGUAUAUUUCAAACAGCCAAAAAUAAUUUUAAAAUGUAUUUUAGUCUUUAGCAUGGGCCUCUUGAAAGAAAAAAGAAUAAAAAAGGCUCCAAGUCACAGUUCCCAGCAGUUCCCGUAGUUUCUGUUUGUUGUUUUGUUUUGUUUUUUCUUAUUUCCAUGGCUGCUUUUGCAGUGUUUCCAUAGUUUCAAAUUCCCUCCUCUCUCUUCUUUAAUUCUCCCCAAUCCUUAUGUGGAUCUGUUUAGCUACUCUCCAUAAACCUUUCCCUUAGAGCUCACCUUUCAAAUGCUUUUCUGCCUGUUCUCUUAUUUUGCAUCACAAACAUCCAGAACAGGUCUGAGAGGUACACUUUCUUAGGACACUGGGGAGAGAAGUGGAGAGGCAAAGUCUUUAUCAGCCUGGAGGCUGGGGAAGAUUUACACACUGAUCAGUUUUCUGUACCACUUCUGAUUGACCUACAGAUUAGAAGUCUGAGGAGGACAGGGACAAUAUCUGUUCUAUUUGUAACUCCCACAAUCUGACAAAUAUGUAGUCAACAUUUGUUUUCUGGAAAAAGAAAAGUCGAGCAAUUGAGGUAUGGGAAAAGAAGUAUACAGCACAGAGCAAGGAUUCUUGACAUAGUGAAGGUGAAACCACCUUUGCAGAAAUUAUGACAGCCAAUUAUGACAGUGAAAGAGAUCUGACCUAGCCAACUCCAUCUCACUUCUAACCCCCAAGCUGUUCUUGUGCAUUCCUGAGUGUAGGCGGAACUAACUUUGGGAGGAACUUAGUUUUACUUUGAAACAAAGAUGACAACAGUCCUAUCUCAGAACAAACCCCCUUCCUGCCUGGGGACCAGACUUUGUAGGACUAACAAAUGAGCCACAACAUUAGAAAUUAUAGUUUAGGAGUCAUGCAGCUAGAGGCCACAAGAUUCUAAGCCUCCCCAAUUGCUCCUAGGGAUAACAUCACUAUUAUAAAACCUACGAUUGGUGCUCAAGGUAUUUUCAGACCCCUCCCUGGAUGGAUCAGCUGCUCCCACCCAGACUGAUGGUCUUGUGGCUUCCACUCAGGAACUGACUCAGCACAAGAGGACAGCUUUGACUCCCCAUUCCUGGGGGACCAGUCAGCACUCCCCACUACCUGCCCCCCAUCCAUGAGAUUAUCCUUAAAAACCCCAGUCUCCGAAUUUUCAGGGAGACUGAUCUGAGCAAUAAUAAAACGGCAGUCUCCUGUACAACCAGCUGUGUGAAUUAAACUCUUUCUCUGUUACAA
Long non-coding RNA from Homo sapiens (human), 5749 nucleotides. RefSeq lists it as uncharacterized. The record is from RefSeq and is a predicted model, not a curated record. Lineage: Eukaryota; Metazoa; Chordata; Mammalia; Primates; Hominidae. The transcript has 2 exons.